GGGUAACACUUAGAAAUAGGUGCUAAUACCGCAUAAGCGCACAGCUUCGCAUGAAGCGGUGUGAAAAACUCUGGUGGUAUACGAUGGUUCCGCGUCUGAUUAGCUAGUUGGUGGGGUAAUGGCCUACCAAGGCAACGAUCAGUAGCCGGCCUGAGAGGGUGAACGGCCACAUUGGGACUGAGACACGGCCCAAACUCCUACGGAAGGCAGCAG
This 213-nucleotide ribosomal RNA is filed under the name uncultured bacterium. Its description in RNAcentral is "partial 16S ribosomal RNA". It matches the Rfam family "Bacterial small subunit ribosomal RNA", at positions 141 to 354 of the family's 1533-position model. The record is from RNAcentral.